This 492-nucleotide ribosomal RNA is filed under the name uncultured bacterium. RNAcentral's name for it is "partial 16S ribosomal RNA". It matches the Rfam family "Bacterial small subunit ribosomal RNA", at positions 29 to 507 of the family's 1533-position model. The record is from RNAcentral.
AGUGAACGCUGGCGGUAGGCCUAACACAUGCAAGUCGAACGGCGGCACAGUAAGAGCUUGCUCUUACGGGUGGCGAGUGGCGGACGGGUGAGGAAUACAUCGGAAUCUACUUUUUCGUGGGGGAUAACGUAGGGAAACUUACGCUAAUACCGCAUACGACCUACGGGUGAAAGCAGUGGAUCUUCGGACCUUGCGCGAUUGAAUGAGCCGAUGUCGGAUUAGCUAGUUGGCGGGGUAAAGGCCCACCAAGGCGACGAUCCGUAGCUGGUCUGAGAGGAUGAUCAGCCACACUGGAACUGAGACACGGUCCAGACUCCUACGGGAGGCAGCAGUGGGGAAUAUUGGACAAAGGGCGCAAGCCUGAUCCAGCCAUACCGCGUGGGUGAAGAAGGCCUUCGGGUUGUAAAGCCCUUUUGUUGGGAAAGAAAAGCAGCAGGUUAAUACCCCGCUGUUCUGACGGUACCCAAAGAAUAAGCACCGGCUAACUUCGUG